CACGUAGGGGGCAAGCGUUGUCCGGAUUUAUUGGGCGUAAAGAGCUCGUAGGCGGCUCAGUAAGUCAGGUGUGAAACCUCCAGGCUCAACCUGGAGACGCCACCUGAUACUGCUGUGGCUAGAGUCCGGUAGGGGAGCGUGGAAUUCCUGGUGUAGCGGUGAAAUGCGCAGAUAUCGGAAGGAACACCUGUGGCGAAAGCGGCUCACUGGACCAUUACUGACGCUGAUGCACGAAAGCUAGGGGAGCAAACAGG
RNAcentral lists this ribosomal RNA (254 nucleotides) under uncultured bacterium. RNAcentral describes it as "partial 16S ribosomal RNA". It matches the Rfam family "Bacterial small subunit ribosomal RNA", at positions 524 to 776 of the family's 1533-position model. The record is from RNAcentral.